AACGAACGCUGGCGGCGUGGAUUAGGCAUGCAAGUCGAACGAGAAAGGGUUCACAAGGACCCGAGUAAAGUGGCGAAAGGGUGAGUAGUACCUAGGUAACCUGCCCUGAAGACGGGGAUAACGUCUCUAACAGGACGCUAAUACCCGAUAUGUCGGCGGCCUCGCAUGGGGUUGCCGGUAAAGAUAGCCUCUGUACACAAGCUUUCACUUCAGGAGGGGCCUCGGGCCUAUCAGCUAGNGGCGGGGUAACGGCCCACCAAGGCUGGGACGGGUAGCCGGUCUGAGAGGAUGGUCGGCCACACUGGGACUGAGACACUGCCCAGACUCCUACGGGAGGCUGCAGUCGAGGAUCUUCUGCAAUGGGCGCAAGCCUGACAGAGCGACGCCGCGUGGGGGAGAAGGCC
RNAcentral lists this ribosomal RNA (404 nucleotides) under uncultured bacterium. RNAcentral describes it as "bacterial SSU rRNA". It matches the Rfam family "Bacterial small subunit ribosomal RNA", at positions 29 to 416 of the family's 1533-position model. The record is from RNAcentral.